RNAcentral lists this ribosomal RNA (405 nucleotides) under Remenus bilobatus. Its description in RNAcentral is "partial 12S ribosomal RNA". The stretch from base 51 to 405 matches the Rfam family "Bacterial small subunit ribosomal RNA", at positions 874 to 1405 of the family's 1533-position model. The record is from RNAcentral. Lineage: Eukaryota; Metazoa; Arthropoda; Insecta; Plecoptera; Perlodidae.
UAAACUACGAUUAGAUACCCUAUUAUUUUGAAUGUAAAAUGGAUAAUGCUUGAGUAGUAAUAGUUAUGGUCUUGAAACUCAAAGAAUUUGGCGGUGUUUCAGUCCUUUCAGAGGAACCUGUCCCGUGAUCGAUAUUCCACGUUAGACCUUACUUGAUUUAGAUUAGUUUGUAUAUCGCCGUCGUCAGAAUGUCCUAUGAGGGGUUUAAUUUUCUUUAUUUUAAAUUUAAAAGGAUGUCAGGUCAAGGUGCAGCUUAUAAUCGAGUGGAGAUGGGUUACAAUAAAGUUAUUUAUGAUGGAUAGUUACUUGAAAUUAGUGGUUUGAAGGUGGAUUUGAAUGUAAUUGCAUAUAGUAUGCUGCUUUGAUUUCGGCUCUGGAACAUGCACACAUCGCCCGUCGCUCUUA